Molecule: ribosomal RNA, 529 nt
Filed under: Physarum carneum
Lineage: Eukaryota; Evosea; Eumycetozoa; Physariida; Physaraceae
Description: SSU rRNA
Source: RNAcentral
AUGCUUCUCCUAAAGACUAAGCCAUGCAUGUCUUCGAAUAAGAGGAAGCAAUUCUCUCUGAAUCUGCGAACGGCUCCGCAAACCAGUUGUAAACUAUAGCAAGCAUGUUCCGAACUUUCGGGGGAGGGGCGAUAAGGAUAACCCUGGUAAUUCUGAGGCUAAUACAAGACCGUAAAACUUGAUCGACUGGGCAACCGGAAGAUUGGGGGGCGUGCUCUUUAUUGCAGACGAUUGCCGGGAAAGGAUGCACGUUCAGACCACCAUAACAAACGGUAGCUGGGAUCCGCAAGGUGAAAGGUGUUCCGGGUGGCUCUUGCUCUGUGCUUCUGACCUAUCAACUAGAUGGCAGCGUAACGGACAUGCCAUGGUUACAACGGGUACAGAGGAUAAGGGUUCGAUCCUGGAGAGUGGGCCUGAGAGAUUGCUCAUACUUCUAAGGAAGGCAGCAGGCGCGCAACGUUCCCAUUGGGCAAUGCCCGAGGGCGUUAGGGGACAUAUGAAUGCCUSCAAUUGGUGGGCAAUCAAAUGG